RNAcentral lists this transfer RNA (82 nucleotides) under Perca flavescens (yellow perch). It matches the Rfam family "tRNA". Rfam says of the family: Transfer RNA (tRNA) molecules are approximately 80 nucleotides in length. Their secondary structure includes four short double-helical elements and three loops (D, anti-codon, and T loops). The record is from Rfam by way of RNAcentral. Lineage: Eukaryota; Metazoa; Chordata; Actinopteri; Perciformes; Percidae.
GAUGAGGUGGCUGAGUGGAUAAGGUGAUGGACUGUCAAUCCUUCGGGCCCUUCCCGCGUGGGUUUGAAUCCCAUCCUUGUCG